RNAcentral lists this ribosomal RNA (253 nucleotides) under uncultured bacterium. RNAcentral's name for it is "partial 16S ribosomal RNA". It matches the Rfam family "Bacterial small subunit ribosomal RNA", at positions 524 to 776 of the family's 1533-position model. The record is from RNAcentral.
UACGAGGGGGGCAAGCGUUGUUCGGAAUUAUUGGGCGUAAAGGGCGCGUAGGCGGUGCGGUAAGUCUGAUGUGAAAUCUCCGGGCUCAACUCGGAGUCUGCAUCAGAAACUGCCGUGCUCGAGUGUGGGAGAGGUGAGUGGAAUUCCCGGUGUAGAGGUGAAAUUCGUAGAUAUCGGGAGGAACACCAGUGGCGAAGGCGGCGACCUGGGCCAAUACUGACGCUGAGGUGCGAAAGCGUGGGGAGCAAACAGG